RNAcentral lists this ribosomal RNA (1510 nucleotides) under uncultured bacterium. Its description in RNAcentral is "partial 16S ribosomal RNA". It matches the Rfam family "Bacterial small subunit ribosomal RNA". The record is from RNAcentral.
AGAGUUUGAUCCUGGCUCAGAUUGAACGCUGGCGGCAGGCCUAACACAUGCAAGUCGAGCGGUAACAGGAAUUAGCUUGCUAAUUUGCUGACGAGCGGCGGACGGGUGAGUAAUGCCUGGGAAUAUGCCUUAGUGUGGGGGAUAACUAUUGGAAACGAUAGCUAAUACCGCAUAACGUCUUCGGACCAAAGAGGGGGACCUUCGGGCCUCUCGCGCUAAGAUUAGCCCAGGUGGGAUUAGCUAGUUGGUGAGGUAAAGGCUCACCAAGGCAACGAUCCCUAGCUGGUCUGAGAGGAUGAUCAGCCACACUGGAACUGAGACACGGUCCAGACUCCUACGGGAGGCAGCAGUGGGGAAUAUUGCACAAUGGGGGAAACCCUGAUGCAGCCAUGCCGCGUGUAUGAAGAAGGCCUUCGGGUUGUAAAGUACUUUCAGUCGUGAGGAAGGGUCUGUAGUUAAUAGCUGCAUGCCUUGACGUUAGCGACAAGAAGAAGCACCGGCUAACUCCGUGCCAGCAGCCGCGGUAAUACGGAGGGUGCGAGCGUUAAUCGGAAUUACUGGGCGUAAAGCGCAUGCAGGCGGUCUGUUAAGCAAGAUGUGAAAGCCCGGGGCUCAACCUCGGAACCGCAUUUUGAACUGGCAGACUAGAGUCUUGUAGAGGGGGGUAGAAUUUCAGGUGUAGCGGUGAAAUGCGUAGAGAUCUGAAGGAAUACCGGUGGCGAAGGCGGCCCCCUGGACAAAGACUGACGCUCAGAUGCGAAAGCGUGGGGAGCAAACAGGAUUAGAUACCCUGGUAGUCCACGCCGUAAACGAUGAGUGCUAAGUGUUAGGGGGUUUCCGCCCCUUAGUGCUGCAGCUAACGCAUUAAGCACUCCGCCUGGGGAGUACGACCGCAAGGUUGAAACUCAAAGGAAUUGACGGGGGCCCGCACAAGCGGUGGAGCAUGUGGUUUAWUUCGAAGCAACGCGAAGAACCUUACCAGGUCUUGACAUCCCACUGACCGGCUUAGAGAUAGGCUUUUCCCUUCGGGGACAGUGGUGACAGGUGGUGCAUGGGUUGUUCGUCAGCUCSUGUCSUGAGAUGUUGGGUUAAGUCCCGCAACGAGCGCAACCCUUGAUUUUAGUUGCCAGCAUUCAGUUGGGCACUCUAAGGUGACUGUCGGUGAUAAACCGGAGGAAGGUGGGGAUGACGUCAAAUCAUCAUGCCCCUUAUGACCUGGGCUACACACGUGCUACAAUGGACGAUACAAAGGGCUGCAAACCCGCGAGGGGGAGCCAAUCCCAUAAAAUCGUUCUCAGUUCGGAUUGUAGGCUGCAACUCGCCUACAUGAAGCCGGAAUCGCUAGUAAUCGUGGAUCAGCAUGCCACGGUGAAUACGUUCCCGGGCCUUGUACACACCGCCCGUCACACCACGAGAGUUUGUAACACCCGAAGUCGGUGAGGUAACCUUUACAGGAGCCAGCCGCCGAAGGUGGGACAGAUGAUUGGGGUGAAGUCGUAACAAGGUAACC